CAGCAGCCGCGGUAAUACGUAGGGUCCAAGCGUUAAUCGGAAUUACUGGGCGUAAAGCGUGCGCAGGCGGUUGUGCAAGACCGAUGUGAAAUCCCCGAGCUUAACUUGGGAAUUGCAUUGGUGACUGCACGGCUAGAGUGUGUCAGAGGGGGGUAGAAUUCCACGUGUAGCAGUGAAAUGCGUAGAGAUGUGGAGGAAUACCGAUGGCGAAGGCAGCCCCCUGGGAUAACACUGACGCUCAUGCACGAAAGCGUGGGGAGCAAACAGGAUUAGAUACCCUGGUAGUCCACGCCCUAAACGAUGUCAACUAGUUGUUGGGGAUUCAUUUCCUUAGUAACGUAGCUAACGCGUGAAGUUGACCGCCUGGGGAGU
This 372-nucleotide ribosomal RNA is filed under the name uncultured bacterium. RNAcentral's name for it is "bacterial SSU rRNA". It matches the Rfam family "Bacterial small subunit ribosomal RNA", at positions 509 to 881 of the family's 1533-position model. The record is from RNAcentral.